RNAcentral lists this long non-coding RNA (261 nucleotides) under Homo sapiens (human). RNAcentral describes it as "HSALNT0345782". Lineage: Eukaryota; Metazoa; Chordata; Mammalia; Primates; Hominidae. The record is from RNAcentral.
ACAAGAAAUUCAAGUCAAGGGAAUUGUUAUGGAGUAAAUGUUUGUGUCUCCUCCAGAUUCAUAUGUGAAGCCCUAACCCCCAUCGUGAUGGUAUUAGGAGAUGCAGCUCUUGAGAUGUAAUGAAGGUGAGCACACAGCAAGAAGGUAGCUGUCUGCAAGCUGGGAAGAGAGACCUAACCAAAACUUAACCACGCUGGCACCCUGAUCUCAGAAACUCAGUCUCCAGAACUGUGAGAAAAUAAAUGUCUGUUGUUUAAGCCA